This 356-nucleotide RNase P RNA is filed under the name Candidatus Blautia intestinavium. RNAcentral describes it as "RNase P RNA component class A". It matches the Rfam family "Bacterial RNase P class A". Rfam says of the family: Ribonuclease P (RNase P) is a ubiquitous endoribonuclease, found in archaea, bacteria and eukarya as well as chloroplasts and mitochondria. Its best characterised activity is the generation of mature 5'-ends of tRNAs by cleaving the 5'-leader elements of precursor-tRNAs. Cellular RNase Ps are ribonucleoproteins. Lineage: Bacteria; Bacillati; Bacillota; Clostridia; Lachnospirales; Lachnospiraceae. The record is from RNAcentral.
CAACCAGGACAGGUGAUCGCGGCUGCACAGACGAAAGGGUGCAGACGAGGAAAGUCCGGGCUUCACAGGGCAGGAUGCCGGAUAACGUCCGGUGGAGGCGACUCCCAGACCAGUGCAACAGAAAUAAACCGCCUCCUCCUCUGGAGCGGGGUAAGGGUGGAAAGGCAGUGUAAGAGACUACCGCCGUUCUGGUAACAGGACGGGCACAUGUAAACUCCAUCUGAAGCAAGACCGAAAAGAAAGCGAUACGGCGGCCCGUCGUGCUUUCAGGUGGGUCGCUUGAGCCGUCUGGCGACAGACGGCCUAGAUAGAUGAUCACUCAACGACAUAACCCGGCUUAUCGUUCUGGUUGCCAA